RNAcentral lists this ribosomal RNA (334 nucleotides) under uncultured bacterium. RNAcentral describes it as "bacterial SSU rRNA". It matches the Rfam family "Bacterial small subunit ribosomal RNA", at positions 568 to 899 of the family's 1533-position model. The record is from RNAcentral.
CGCGCAGGCGGUCGUUCAAGUCGAAUGUGAAAGCCCCCGGCUCAACUGGGGAGGGUCAUUCGAUACUGAUCGACUCGAAGGCGGGAGAGGGAAGCGGAAUUCCCGGUGUAGUGGUGAAAUGCGUAGAUAUCGGGAGGAACACCAGUGGCGAAGGCGGCUUCCUGGCCCGUUCUUGACGCUGAGGCGCGAAAGCUAGGGGAGCAAAACGGGAUUAGAUACCCCGGUAGUCCUAGCUGUAAACGAUGGAUACUAGGUGUUGGUGGUAUCAACCCUGCCAGUGCCGUAGCUAACGCAUUAAGUAUCCCGCCUGGGGAGUACGGCCGCAAGGCUAAAA